GAUGAACGCUGGCGGCGUGCCUAAUACAUGCAAGUCGAGCGAACGGACGAGAAGCUUGCUCCUCUGAUGUUAGCGGCGGACGGGUGAGUAACACGUGGAUAACCUACCUAUAAGACUGGGAUAACUUCGGGAAACCGGAGCUAAUACCGGAUGAUAUUUUGAACCGCAUGGUUCAAAAGUGAAAGACGGUUUUGCUGUCACUUAUAGAUGGAUCCGCGCUGCAUUAGCUAGUUGGUAAGGUAACGGCUUACCAAGGCAACGAUGCCUAGCCGACCUGAGAGGGUGAUCGGCCACACUGGAACUGAGACACGGUCCAGACUCCUACGGGAGGCAGCAGUAGGGAAUCUUCCGCAAUGGGCGAAAGCCUGACGGAGCAACGCCGCGUGAGUGAUGAAGGUCUUCGGAUCGUAAAACUCUGUUAUUAGGGAAGAACAUAUGUGUAAGUAACUGUGCACAUCUUGACGGUACCUAAUCAGAAAGCCACGGCUAACUACGUG
Molecule: ribosomal RNA, 497 nt
Filed under: uncultured bacterium
Lineage: Bacteria
Description: partial 16S ribosomal RNA
Rfam family: Bacterial small subunit ribosomal RNA
Source: RNAcentral